ACUUUUGCAGAUCUAUGUGUCACGGACACUUCUGUAAGCCUAGCAUAUUCAUGUCGGACACAUGUCUGAUGUGGACACUCAUUGAACGCCCAUUUAAUACCGAUCCAUAACGCAUACAACUAAUAUACAUAUAAUAUAUAUGAGUCCAGCUACUAUACUCUUAUGAAUAUGAUCGCCCUCGUACUCAUAAGUUAUUUUCGAUGAUAGGGCUUUCGAAUCGACAAUCCAUACCGUUAAAUAUUAUCUAGAGCAUUUAAAACUUCUAGAAAUUAAAUUUCAUAAUUUUCGAUAUCAUUUACCUUACGAUCAAAAGCUCACAAAAUUGAUAAUUUUUAACGGCCGGUAUGGGAUAGUUGUUAGUUUAAAGGUGUAAAAGAAUUGGAAUAGGUUGAAGUUUUGAUAGAAAAUUCUAUUCACUACCUAGAUAAAGAUUAAUAACUCCGAUCUUAAAUUGAAGAAUCUGAUCAUCCAUUUUUAAGACGUCGUUCGAUUUUGACCGUUUAUUUUAUGUCCGUUUGAUGGACUUUAUUAUAAUUUUGAAAAAUUACGAAAUUUAUUUUUUAGAAGUUUCAAAUACUCUAGAUCAUAUUUAAUGGAAUGGAUUGUCGAUUUGGAAGCCCUAUAAUCGAAAACAACUUAUGAGAACGAAGGGCCCAAUACUCAUAAGAGUAUAGUAGCCCUACUCAU
This 687-nucleotide long non-coding RNA is filed under the name Ananas comosus (pineapple). RNAcentral's name for it is "long non-coding RNA (ACOM_LNC042716)". Lineage: Eukaryota; Viridiplantae; Streptophyta; Magnoliopsida; Poales; Bromeliaceae. The record is from RNAcentral.